RNAcentral lists this unclassified non-coding RNA (288 nucleotides) under uncultured fungus. RNAcentral's name for it is "partial contains 5.8S rRNA and ITS2". Lineage: Eukaryota; Fungi. The record is from RNAcentral.
AACGCAACUGGCGCCGCUAUUCGGUCAUGCCUGUUUCAGUGUGCUAGGAGAGUAAACUAUCAUUAUAAAAUAUCAUGCGAUUGAGGUACAUUUAUGUUCUUCUUUCGUUAAAUAUGAAGGUGUGAAAGAUGAGUAAUCUCUCACACUGGCAAACGAAGUAGUCAUGCUUGUUCGUGAUCUCGUUUAACCAGUGCUAAAGGUUAUUGCUUAGCUAUAAAUCACAUCUAAUCAAUUAAAUACCUCCAAAUGUGGGAUCUGAAAUCAGACAAGGAUACCCGCUGAACUUAA